Long non-coding RNA from Oncorhynchus keta (chum salmon), 944 nucleotides. RefSeq lists it as uncharacterized. The transcript has 3 exons. The record is from RefSeq and is a predicted model, not a curated record. Lineage: Eukaryota; Metazoa; Chordata; Actinopteri; Salmoniformes; Salmonidae.
UAGGUAGGUAGGUAGGUAGGUAGGUAGGUAGGUAGGUAGGUAGGUAGGUAGGUAGGUAGGUGGGUAGGUGGGUAGGUAGGUAGGUAGGUAGGUAGGUAGGUAGGUAGGUAGGUAGGAUUUACAUCAACAUACAAUACAGGAAGGUUCAUACAGUAAGAUGCCUAGCUGGCUCCAGAUCUAUUUGUGCUCCUACUGUACUGUCGUUGUCAUGCCAAACAUGACUGUAUGAUUUAGCAAGACGGCACACAUAGAUCUAGUGGGGUCUCUAUAACAUAUAUCUCAUCAGCAGGCAACAGAGACGUGAUUGCUGGUCAUUCUAGUGCAGAAUAGAGACAUGAUUACUGGUCAUUCUAGUGCAGAACAGAGGACACUAACAGAGAACAGAGACAUGAUUACUGGUCAUUCUAGUGCAGAACAGAGGACACUAACAGAGAACAGAGACAUGAUUACUGGUCAUUCUAGUGCAGAACAGAGACAUGAUUACUGGUCAUUCUAGUGCAGAACAGAGGACACUAACAGAGAACAGAGACAUGAUUACUGGUCAUUCUAGUGCAGAACAGAGGACACUAACAGAGAACAGAGACAUGAUUACUGGUCAUUCUAGUGCAGAACAGAGGACACUAACAGAGAACAGAGACAUGAUUACUGGUCAUUCUAGUGCAGAACAGAGGACACUAACAGAGAACAGAGACAUGAUUACUGGUCAUUCUAGUGCAGAACAGAGGACACUAACAGAGAACAGAGACAUGAUUACUGGUCAUUCUAGUGCAGAACAGAGGACACUGACAGGGAAGGCAGGUCUGAUGCAGCAUACUAACCCACACAAGGAACAACAGGGAAGAGGGGAGGAAAGACAGAAUAAAAGAGCACUUAUUAAGGCGGUCUGCCGUUACCUUUCUUUAGAAGGAAACCUGAGAGGUUGGAUAGAAACGGAAGAUGUGUCA